GGGCGUAAAAGGUUUAAUUCAUCAUUUCUUUGCCACCUCGAUUAGAGGUUUUAAGCCUAUUCCUUCAAGCUGCAUGAGUCAUAUCAGAAAAUAUGAGAAAUCAACAUCCUGAAAUAACUUGAAUUGAGAUUUGUUUAAUGGUGGGAUGGAGCAGUAUCUCACAAAGUGAAAGCUUUUUAUUAACACUGAAGAAAAUACAACCAUCAUCAGGCGGAACGAAGUCAUGAGUAGAAGCCAGGGAGGCAUGAAAGAAAAAGUCUUGUGGCACCCACACCGAGAAGAUGCUAAGCAGAGAUGU
RNAcentral lists this long non-coding RNA (298 nucleotides) under Homo sapiens (human). RNAcentral describes it as "HSALNT0135034". The record is from RNAcentral. Lineage: Eukaryota; Metazoa; Chordata; Mammalia; Primates; Hominidae.